Zea mays is the source of this 2170-nucleotide long non-coding RNA. RefSeq lists it as uncharacterized. The transcript is spliced from 4 exons. The record is from RefSeq and is a predicted model, not a curated record. NCBI's taxonomy places the organism in Eukaryota, Viridiplantae, Streptophyta, Magnoliopsida, Poales, Poaceae.
CUGAUUGGUGGAAUUCAUGCGGAGGGCAAUGCAAAGAAUUACAGAAAAUUGCUAUUAGAAUUGUUUCACGCUGUUGUUCAUCUAGUGGUUGUGAGCGUAACUAGAGUACGUUUGCUCUAGUCCAUACUAAGUUGAGAAAUCGCUUAGGCUAUGAGAAGCUAGAUAGGUUAGUCUAUGUCCAUUAUAACUUAAAGCUUCUCGUCCAACAAUUUGAACUUGACAAUCCCCAAGGAAAGGAGAUAGAUCCAUAUAGUAUGAUGAUGGAUGUUGUCCUUUUUGAUGAAAAUAAUCCAAUCUUAGACUGGUUCAACAACUCUAGAUCUGAGUCUAGACCAAUCCUUGAUGAAUAUGAUGACGACAACGAUGAUUGGGAUGCGCCUAGCAGUUUUCUCAUUGAAGAACUACAAAUGAGUAAAUCAGAUGUGACUGCAUUCAAAAGGAAUCUUGGUUUUGGUAAAAAUAGCAUAGGGAAGAAACCAAUGAGUCAAUUAGAUGAGGAAGAAGAGUUUGAAGAUGACUAUGAGUUAGAUUCUCCACAUGGUAGUCCAUUGUAUGAUGAGCCAUGUGAUAUUUGUUCUGAUGAUGAAGGAAACAACUCAGGCUAGGAUGCUUGGUUGGAAGAUAAAUCGGGUGGUGAUGUCGACAAGAACAAAUCAGAUUGUAUUGAAGGCGGAUGUAGUGGAAAUAGAGGGGCGCCCUUGGUGCCAGUGCGUCUGCUCCUGCUACGACAGCGUCCAGUCUUCCACAAUCGACCCAUAUUCGUCCAAGAUCAAAUAGAAAAAGGAAGCCAACACACAAGAGUGUUUAUGAUCUAUAAAAGGAUGUGGAAGAGAAAUGGCCACCGGAACAUGGCACACUUUUGGACAGAAUGAUCACUUUUGUUGGGGAUUCUGAUUUUGGAAAGAAUGAAUUGAUUUUCAAGUGCUUUUGUUGAUGACAUGUGCUUGAAAAUGUACUAUUUCGGACUUUUAUUAUUUUGAUAAACUAUGCUAUAUGCACUUAUCAUAUUUGGACACUAUUAGGUGGGUUGUGGUUUGAUGCCAAUGUGCCAUGGAUGUUGUAAGUUGUGAUACUUAGUCACAUUUCUAUUUUAUAUAUGUGCAAUUGUGAUGUCAGAUGUAUUAGACAUAAAUUACAGGGAAAUUCUGUCAAUUUUUUUAAAAUUUUGAAUUCAUUUGAAUUUGGUUUGAAAUUUCCGAAAUUUCCCCAAUUUUGGUGGGUGCCAAAUUUUUUCCUUUCCGAAACUGAGAUGAAUAUUAUAUUAAUCAAUAUUUUUUGGUUGAUCAUGUUUAUUUGUCGGCAUGAGAUAUAUUGUAUUUGUUGAAGUGACUGUGUUCAGUUUAGAUAUGAUUUCAAAUGGCUACGUAAUUUACAUUGGAUCAAAACAUGUAUGUAUACAUUAACUGGUGGUGCAGCUUGUUUUAGAAACAGUGAAAUGAAAUCCUCCAUCGAGAGAGUUUAGUUUCUAAAUUUAAGGGAUAUUUGGUUACUAAAGUUUAGUCUGUGCUACAUUAAAUGUUUGAAUAUUAAUUAAAACAAAUAUCAAUUAAGACUAUUAAGUAUUGGUUUAAUUAAAUUUAAUAAAAUUGACUUGUCUUUUAGUCUCCAUCUAUAACUAGUCUUAUAAUUAGACUAUAUUUAAUAUCCGGAAUUAUUAUUCAAACAUUUGACGAGACAAGUAUAAAACUUUACUUGGGCUGUAUCUAGACCUGUUCAAACCUCUGCUCGGAUCGGGUUUGGGCCGGGUCAUGAUCGGUCGGGUCGUUUGACACAGCUCGUGCCUGACCUGUGCAUAGUUGUCGAACCAUGUUCGAGGAGAAAAAAUGGUUGGCUCGUGGAUCGUUUGACACAACCCACACCUGACCCGUGCAUAGCCGCCGGGUUGGCACGUGCCCCCCUGUGGGACAUGUCGAGACGAGUUUUCAAGCUAUGGGUCGAAGGUUUUCGAGUUGGAUCAGGUUUUGGGUCAAAAAUCAUGGUCUGUACCCAACUAUGAAUUGUUGCGGGUCAAAAAUUAUGGCUCGAGCUCGCCCGUUAUAUUGGUCGAGUUGUGUUAGUUGUACCCAACACUCCAUCUCUAAUUCUAGAGAGAUCAAAUGUAUGCUUUGAAAAGGGAUAGUAAUAGAUCACGAUUUAAAUGCUUCUUCACUCACUCUCUAAUCUGAUUCUA